CCCUGGUAGUCCACGCCGUAAACGAUUAGUGCUAAGUGUUAGGGGGUUUCCGCCCCUUAGUGCUGCAGCUAACGCGUUAAGCACUCCGCCUGGGGAGUACGGUCGCAAGACUGAAACUCAAAGGAAUUGACGGGGGCCCGCACAAGCGGUGGAGCAUGUGGUUUAAUUCGAAGCAACGCGAAGAACCUUACCAGGUCUUGACAUCCUCUGACAACCCUAGAGAUAGGGCUUUCCCUUCGGGGACAGAGUGACAGGUGGUGCAUGGUUGUCGUCAGCUCGUGUCGUGAGAUGUUGGGUUAAGUCCCGCAACGAGCGCAACCCUUGAUCUUAGUUACCAGCAUUUAGUUGGGCACUCUAAGGUGACUGCCGGUGACAAACCGGAGGAAGGUGGGGAUGACGUCAAAUCAUCAUGCCCCUUAUGACCUGGGCUACACACGUGCUACAAUGGACAGAACAAAGGGCUGCGAGACCGCAAGGUUUAGCCAAUCCCAUAAAUCUGUUCUCAUUUCG
RNAcentral lists this ribosomal RNA (510 nucleotides) under Bacillus pumilus. RNAcentral describes it as "bacterial SSU rRNA". It matches the Rfam family "Bacterial small subunit ribosomal RNA", at positions 785 to 1295 of the family's 1533-position model. The record is from RNAcentral. Lineage: Bacteria; Bacillati; Bacillota; Bacilli; Caryophanales; Bacillaceae.